This 200-nucleotide unclassified non-coding RNA is filed under the name Coniophora sp. RNAcentral's name for it is "partial internal transcribed spacer 2". The record is from RNAcentral. Lineage: Eukaryota; Fungi; Basidiomycota; Agaricomycetes; Boletales; Coniophoraceae.
UUAAGUUCAGCGGGUAGUCCUACCUGAUUUGAGGUCAAAAUGGUCAAAGUGCUUUCUUCCAAGUCAAUGGAAAAAGUAGCAAGUAAGGCAUAGACAUUAAUAGCCAGCUAGCCACGGUGAUCAUUAUCACACCGAAAGGCCGACCUGAUACCAACCUCCAUUACAGAGGCCAGCACACACCUCCAUUACAGAGGCAUGCA